Molecule: ribosomal RNA, 497 nt
Filed under: uncultured bacterium
Lineage: Bacteria
Description: partial 16S ribosomal RNA
Rfam family: Bacterial small subunit ribosomal RNA
Source: RNAcentral
GAUGAACGCUGGCGGCGUGCCUAAUACAUGCAAGUCGAGCGAACGGACGAGAAGCUUGCUUCUCUGAUGUUAGCGGCGGACGGGUGAGUAACACGUGGAUAACCUACCUAUAAGACUGGGAUAACUUCGGGAAACCGGAGCUAAUACCGGAUGAUAUUUUGAACCGCAUGGUUCAAAAGUGAAAGACGGUCUUGCUGUCACUUAUAGAUGGAUCCGCGCUGCAUUAGCUAGUUGGUAAGGUAACGGCUUACCAAGGCAACGAUGCAUAGCCGACCUGAGAGGGUGAUCGGCCACACUGGAACUGAGACACGGUCCAGACUCCUACGGGAGGCAGCAGUAGGGAAUCUUCCGCAAUGGGCGAAAGCCUGACGGAGCAACGCCGAGUGAGUGAUGAAGGUCUUCGGAUCGUAAAACUCUGUUAUUAGGGAAGAACAUAUGUGGAAGUAACUGUGCACAUCUUGACGGUACCUAAUCAGAAAGCCACGGCUAACUACGUG